RNAcentral lists this ribosomal RNA (468 nucleotides) under uncultured bacterium. RNAcentral's name for it is "partial 16S ribosomal RNA". It matches the Rfam family "Bacterial small subunit ribosomal RNA", at positions 28 to 507 of the family's 1533-position model. The record is from RNAcentral.
GACGAACGCUGGCGGCGCGCCUAACACAUGCAAGUCGAACGGAGCUGCGAGAAGCUUGCUUUUCUUAGCUUAGUGGCGAACGGGUGAGUAACGCGUGAGUAACCUGCCCUGGAGUGGGGGACAACAGUUGGAAACGACUGCUAAUACCGCAUAAGCCCACGAUCCGGCAUCGGAUUGAGGGAAAAGGAUUUAUUCGCUUCAGGAUGGACUCGCGUCCAAUUAGCUAGUUGGUGAGGUAACGGCCCACCAAGGCGACGAUUGGUAGCCGGACGGAGAGGUUGAACGGCCACAUUGGGACUGAGACACGGCCCAGACUCCUACGGGAGGCAGCAGUGGGGGAUAUUGCACAAUGGGGGAAACCCUGAUGCAGCGACGCCGCGUGGAGGAAGAAGGUUUUCGGAUUGUAAACUCCUGUCGUUAGGGACGAUAAUGACGGUACCUAACAAGAAAGCACCGGCUAACUACGUG